Molecule: non-coding RNA, 21 nt
Filed under: Caenorhabditis elegans
Lineage: Eukaryota; Metazoa; Nematoda; Chromadorea; Rhabditida; Rhabditidae
Source: RNAcentral
UUCUGCAAAAUUCAAGGAUCG